Molecule: transfer RNA, 99 nt
Rfam family: tRNA
About the family: Transfer RNA (tRNA) molecules are approximately 80 nucleotides in length. Their secondary structure includes four short double-helical elements and three loops (D, anti-codon, and T loops). Further hydrogen bonds mediate the characteristic L-shaped molecular structure. tRNAs have two regions of fundamental functional importance: the anti-codon, which is responsible for specific mRNA codon recognition, and the 3' end, to which the tRNAs corresponding amino acid is attached (by aminoacyl-tRNA synthetases). tRNAs cope with the degeneracy of the genetic code in two manners: having more than one tRNA (with a specific anti-codon) for a particular amino acid; and 'wobble' base-pairing, i.e. permitting non-standard base-pairing at the 3rd anti-codon position.
Source: Rfam
GGGCGUGUGGUCUAGUGGUAUGACGUCGGCUUCGCAUUUCCGAUCAUCUGAUACACGUGCGUCUGCUGAAGGUCCGGAGUUCGAUUCUCCGUUCGUCCA